CCUACGGGUGGCUGCAGUGGGGAAUAUUGGACAAUGGGCGAAAGCCUGAUCCAGCCAUGCCGCGUGUGUGAAGAAGGCCUUCGGGUUGUAAAGCACUUUCAGUGGGGAAGAAAGCCUUGGGGCUAAUACCCUCGAUGAAGGACAUCACCCACAGAAGAAGCACCGGCUAACUCCGUGCCAGCAGCCGCGGUAAUACGGAGGGUGCGAGCGUUAAUCGGAAUUACUGGGCGUAAAGCGCGCGUAGGCGGUCUGAUAAGCCGGUUGUGAAAGCCCCGGGCUCAACCUGGGAACGGCAUCCCGAACUGUCAGGCUAGAGUGCAGGAGAGGAAGGUAGAAUUCCCGGUGUAGCGGUGAAAUGCGUAGAGAUCGGGAGGAAUACCAGUGGCGAAGGCGGCCUUCUGGACUGACACUGACGCUGAGGUGCGAAAGCGUGGGUAGCAAACAGGAUUAGAUACCCCAGUAGUC
RNAcentral lists this ribosomal RNA (465 nucleotides) under Vreelandella stevensii. RNAcentral describes it as "partial 16S ribosomal RNA". It matches the Rfam family "Bacterial small subunit ribosomal RNA", at positions 338 to 795 of the family's 1533-position model. The record is from RNAcentral. Lineage: Bacteria; Pseudomonadati; Pseudomonadota; Gammaproteobacteria; Oceanospirillales; Halomonadaceae.